Molecule: ribosomal RNA, 301 nt
Filed under: uncultured bacterium
Lineage: Bacteria
Description: partial 16S ribosomal RNA
Rfam family: Bacterial small subunit ribosomal RNA
Source: RNAcentral
CAGCAGCCACGGUAAUACGUAGGUGGCAAGCGUUGUCCGGAGUUAUUGGGCGUAAAGGGCUCGCAGGCUGUUUCUUAAGUCUGAUGUUAAAGCCCCCGGUUCAACCGGGGAGGGUCAUUGGAAACUGGGAAACUUGAGUGCAGAAGAGGAGAGUGGAAUUCCACGUGUAGCGGUGAAAUGAGUAGAGAUGUGGAGGAACACCAGUGGCGAAGGCGACUCUCUGGUCUGUAACUGACGCUGAGGAGCGAAAGCGUGGGGAGCGAACAGGAUUAGAUACCCGGGUAGUCCCUGUCUCUUAUAC